Molecule: ribosomal RNA, 789 nt
Filed under: uncultured Sulfitobacter sp.
Lineage: Bacteria; Pseudomonadati; Pseudomonadota; Alphaproteobacteria; Rhodobacterales; Roseobacteraceae
Description: bacterial SSU rRNA
Rfam family: Bacterial small subunit ribosomal RNA
Source: RNAcentral
CUGGCGGCAGGCCUAACACAUGCAAGUCGAGCGCACCCCUUCGGGGGCGAGCGGCGGACGGGUUAGUAACGCGUGGGAACAUACCCAAUGGUACGGAAUAGCCUCGGGAAACUGAGAGUAAUACCGUAUGUGCCCUUCGGGGGAAAGAUUUAUCGCCAUUGGAUUGGCCCGCGUUAGAUUAGAUAGUUGGUGGGGUAAUGGCCUACCAAGUCUACGAUCUAUAGCUGGUUUUAGAGGAUGAUCAGCAACACUGGGACUGAGACACGGCCCAGACUCCUACGGGAGGCAGCAGUGGGGAAUCUUAGACAAUGGGCGCAAGCCUGAUCUAGCCAUGCCGCGUGUGUGAUGAAGGCCUUAGGGUCGUAAAGCACUUUCGCCAGAGAUGAUAAUGACAGUAUCUGGUAAAGAAACCCCGGCUAACUCCGUGCCAGCAGCCGCGGUAAUACGGAGGGGGUUAGCGUUGUUCGGAAUUACUGGGCGUAAAGCGUACGUAGGCGGAUCAGAAAGUAUGGGGUGAAAUCCCAGGGCUCAACCCUGGAACUGCCUCAUAAACUCCUGGUCUUGAGUUCGAGAGAGGUGAGUGGAAUUCCAAGUGUAGAGGUGAAAUUCGUAGAUAUUUGGAGGAACACCAGUGGCGAAGGCGGCUCACUGGCUCGAUACUGACGCUGAGGUACGAAAGUGUGGGGAGCAAACAGGAUUAGAUACCCUGGUAGUCCACACCGUAAACGAUGAAUGCCAGUCGUCGGGCAGUAUACUGUUCGGUGACACACCUAACGGAUUAAGCAUCCG